AUUCGUGCACUAGUAGUAGUUGAAGCUGCCAGCAUGAUCUGAACUUUCCUUGACCUCCAUCUCUAGGGAAAGGCCAGAUCAUCUGGCAGUUUCACCUAUUGAUGGUAGCAUGGCCAGAAACCCUAAUUUCUUCUCCUCCACCAGAUCGUUCUCAACAAACCCAGUAGGUUUUGGCAGAUGAAAAACCCUAGAAACAGGUAUC
Molecule: microRNA precursor, 202 nt
Filed under: Citrus x clementina
Lineage: Eukaryota; Viridiplantae; Streptophyta; Magnoliopsida; Sapindales; Rutaceae
Description: Citrus clementina miR167b stem-loop (ccl-MIR167b)
Gene: ccl-MIR167b
Rfam family: MIR167 microRNA precursor family (bases 8-106)
Source: miRBase by way of RNAcentral